AAAUAAAAUUAUAAGUGUAGGAAAUAAAAUUGUAAGUGUAGGCUUUCAGAUUGGAAUUUCCGUUGGCCUUGGCAGAAAGUGCAUCGCAUCACAGAUGAUAAGACGAACGUUCUCAGCUUCAUUUUACAAUUUUCCUUCAUUCGGGUCUUUGGCGGGGAGUUGUGUUGUGGCGUACUUACGUAACGUAAUGUCAUUGACAUUGGAUGAUAAGUGUUAAUUAAUACCUAAAGGACUGUAAGUAUUUUUUUGGAACAAUGCCGAGAAGAUCAGUUAGAAUUUUGUCGAUGCUCAAAAAUCCCGUCCAUCCGUAAGACAGCAUCCAGGAUGAAUAUGAUCUUCAAGACAUCGAACGUUGUCAAGAUGCCCUAAAUCCUGAAGAAAACCGAAUCGCACCAAUACAGACUACAGGGGAAAUUAUGGAGGAGAUAGAUUUGAUAAAACCAAAUACAAAAGGUAAACUCCAGCAUAAAUCUCUAGUAGCGCGCCAUAUGGUCUUCAGAAGAAAAAUCAGCUGUCUUAGGUUUUUUCAACCAAGAAAUUAAAAAAAGAUCUAGUACCCGGAGAAGCUCAAUGUGAAAAGUGCUUAGAAGAACAUGAUGUUUUGCCCACAAGAUCAUGGACCGACGUAAAAUUCUGCAUUAAAAACCAUCUAGACAAGAGAAAAGAUGAGUGCCUUUACUCAUAGAAAGUUAAAAACUGCCUUUGUUGUACUAUAGUGUGACAUUUUACACGUUUAAUCUACCUAUUUCUUAUUACUAAAAAAUGUACAGGUACUAGGUAGCUUUACUGAAAGCAUUGAAUUUAUAGAUAGUUAUCAAUUCAAUGCUGAAAGUACCAUUGCUGUACUAAUUAAGAUUAUUGUAGUUUUCUGAAACAUUUUUAAUUUUUCUGUUGUUCAUUGGGAUUUAUAAAAUUCCUUCUGUAUUUGUGU
Long non-coding RNA from Photinus pyralis (common eastern firefly), 931 nucleotides. RefSeq lists it as uncharacterized. Lineage: Eukaryota; Metazoa; Arthropoda; Insecta; Coleoptera; Lampyridae. The transcript is spliced from 4 exons. The record is from RefSeq and is a predicted model, not a curated record.